Molecule: ribosomal RNA, 483 nt
Filed under: Salmonella enterica
Lineage: Bacteria; Pseudomonadati; Pseudomonadota; Gammaproteobacteria; Enterobacterales; Enterobacteriaceae
Description: partial 23S ribosomal RNA
Rfam family: Bacterial large subunit ribosomal RNA
Source: RNAcentral
AUAGGUUAAUGAGGCGAACCGGGGGAACUGAAACAUCUAAGUACCCCGAGGAAAAGAAAUCAACCGAGAUUCCCCCAGUAGCGGCGAGCGAACGGGGAGGAGCCCAGAGCCUGAAUCAGCAUGUGUGUUAGUGGAAGCGUCUGGAAAGGCGCGCGAUACAGGGUGACAGCCCCGUACACAAAAGCGCAUAUGCUGUGAGCUCGAUGAGUAGGGCGGGACACGUGGUAUCCUGUCUGAAUAUGGGGGGACCAUCCUCCAAGGCUAAAUACUCCUGACUGACCGAUAGUGAACCAGUACCGUGAGGGAAAGGCGAAAAGAACCCCGGCGAGGGGAGUGAAACAGAACCUGAAACCGUGUACGUACAAGCAGUGGGAGCACAGGUUUACCUGUGUGACUGCGUACCUUUUGUAUAAUGGGUCAGCGACUUAUAUUCUGUAGCAAGGUUAACCGCAUAGGGGAGCCGAAGGGAAACCGAGUCUUAAU